AUGUAUGUACUGCAGUGUGAAUCUAAGGUUGCGAAUGUGCAAAAUGUCCCGACCCAUGAUAUGUGUAUUCAUCUCCUGCACAGGCGUCUGGCUCAUGCUAGCUAUAAGGUGCUAAACAAAACAUUGGAGUUGUGUGGGGGGAUGAAGAACAUAAAAAGUUGUGAUAAUUACUUAGACUGCAAUAUCUGCAAGGAGGUUAAAAGCAGGGCUUGCCCAGUAGCAAGAGCAAGCCAGAGAGAAACCAAAAAACCACUGGAGUUGAUUCAUGCUGAUGUAACUGGUCCUUUUCCACCAAGUGUCUCCCACAACAAGUACUGUUUGAUCCUAGUGGAUGAUUUUUCUAGAUUUGGCUGGGUCUAUCCAUUAAAGCAAAAGUCUGACGUUGCCCAAACUUUGAAGUUCUGGGUAAGAAGGGUAGAAAGGCAACUUGGUGAAAAGGUGUCCUCUAUUCAAUCAGACAGGGGAGGGGAGUUUAUGGCAAGCUCCCUAAGAAACUGGUUGCGUACCCAAGGGAUUAAACAUAGGCUUACCAAUGUGGCCACGCCUCAGGAGAACGGAGUAGCAGAGCGUAGGGGAGGUGUCUUGCAGACACAAAUGAAAGCAUUGUUAGCAGAUGCAAAUCUUCCAAUUAAGUACUGGGCUGAAAGUAUUAAGACCGCGAAUUAUAUUGGGAAUCGCUUGUGGUCAAGGGUACUAGAUGACAUACCCUAUAAAGUUCUCUAUAACAAAAGUCCCAGUUUGCAACAUUUGAGAAUCUUUGGGACAAAGGCAUGGGUUGACAUACCUGUGAAAAACCGAAGAAAAGGUGGGAAAAGGGCACAGCAGUUGCUAUUUCUUGGGUAUGAAAGUGGUACGAAAGCCUACAGGUUUGAAGAUGAUAAAAACCUUUUGAGUUAUAGUCGAUCAGCCAGCUUUAAUGAGCAAAGAAAUUGGCCCAAGAUACAUGCAAACCUGCUGCCAGAAAAGGUUUUACUGCCGAGCGUACCUGAUAAGGCAGUUGAAACAAAGCUAAGAACUGGCAGCUCUCCCAGAGAAACUGAAAGGGAGGAAGUAAAGGUUGAGCAUUUUUCUCCAGCUGCUAGCAUGGAGCAGGGGAGAGAAGAAAGUGCAACAGGGACAGGAGGAGGUAAAUCUCCAGAGUCAAUCCACCCCAAAAGCAGUCCUGAAGGUAGCCCAGGGGGUGAGAUUAAUGAACCAAGGAGGUCUGCAAGAAGUAAUAAAGGUCAACCUCCAGACCGUUAUGGGUUCCCAGCCACCAUAAACCAGGUUUGUGUAACUGAGCCAGAAAACUUUGAAGAAGUGCAAGAGUUACCUACUCUAGAGAAAGAGGCGUGGUUAAAGGCAAUGCAGGCAGAAUAUAACUCUCUGCUAAACAACAAUGUGUUUGUACCUACAGAAUUGCCUGAAGGUAAAAAGCCCAUAAGCUGUAAGUGGGUUUUUAAAGUGAAAAAGCUGGCUGAUGGUAGUUGUCAGAGGAAAGCCAGGUUGGUUGCACGGGGCUUUACACAGAGGAAAAUGAUACAUUAUGAUGAAGUGUUUGCCCCAACAGCAAAGGCUGAAACAGUAAAAUCAGUUUUAGCAAUGGCAAGUCUGAGAGGGUUAAAAGUUAAUCAUUUUGAUGUUGCCUCAGCAUAUUUAAAUGCUCCUAUUGACGCUGAGGUAUAUUUACAGCAAAUACCAGGUUAUGAGCUAGAAAAAGACAGCAUGGUGUUAAAACUGCAAAGGGCACUAUACGGUUUACACCAAAGUGCACGUCUAUGGCAUGAAUGCAUAGACACAACUUUGAAAAAGAUGGGAUUCAAACAAAGCCUGGCUGAUUCCUGUUUAUAUUCAGCAAUGGUGCAAGGAAGUGUUUGUUAUUUACUUUUGUAUGUUGAUGAUAUCUGUCUAAUAACAACUGCACAAAAGCAAGUGUCUUGGUUUAUAAACAGCCUAGGUAACAAAUACAAACUGAAGUAUUUGGGAGAGAUUAAGAAUUACUUAGGAGUAGAGGUUCAGAGAAAUGAAGAGGGCGUUUACUCUCUGAGUCAGAAGGAAAAAAUCGAAAAGUUACUGAAGACAUAUGGAAUGGAGAGGGCAAAUGAGGUUGACACUCCCAUAACUACCCAGUACAAACAUGAACCAGAAGGGCAAAAAUGUGAGAAUGCAACAGCGUUUCAUUCUCUGUUGGGUUCUCUGUUAUAUUUAAGUUGUUGGACAAGACCCGACAUAACAUUGGCAGUGCACAUGUUAAGCCAAAGAAGUGCAGACCCGGCUCAGAGAGAUUGGGUAGCACUUAAAAGAAUCCUAAGGUAUCUGAAAGGCACAAAAGAUUACAAACUGGUGCUGGAUACAGGAUAUGAUCAGCAAGUGUAUGCAUACGCUGAUGCCAGCUGGGGAGACAGAGAAAAUGGAAAGUCUACCACUGGCUAUGCCAUAUAUAUUGGAAAUGCCCUGGUUCAGUGGAAAUCCCAGAAACAAACAUUUGUUGCCACAAGUACUUGUGAAGCAGAGUACUCAGCCAUAAGCGAAUGUGUAUCACAAAUAGAGUGGUUUGCUUGCCUAACAAAAGAGCUUGGAAUACCUUCUGAAAUGCCAAUCACUGUGCUAAGUGACAACAUGGCUGCACAACAGCUUGCUAACCAACAGAACUUUAAGAGCAAGAGUAAACAUAUUGCGAUAAGAUACGGAAAUGUGAAAAAUGCUUUGGAAAGAAAUGUGUUAAAGGUACAGCACUGUAACACAAAAUGUAAUGUGGCAGAUUUGUAUACAAAAUGUUUGGAUGCUCCUAAAUUUCGAGACUUAAGAGAAUUAUUGGGUCUCAAGCCUUUGACUUAA
This 2817-nucleotide long non-coding RNA is filed under the name Podarcis muralis (Common wall lizard). RNAcentral's name for it is "lncRNA (ENSPMRG00000013314.1)". Lineage: Eukaryota; Metazoa; Chordata; Lepidosauria; Squamata; Lacertidae. The record is from RNAcentral.